This 787-nucleotide ribosomal RNA is filed under the name uncultured Lactobacillus sp. Its description in RNAcentral is "bacterial SSU rRNA". It matches the Rfam family "Bacterial small subunit ribosomal RNA", at positions 28 to 776 of the family's 1533-position model. Lineage: Bacteria; Bacillati; Bacillota; Bacilli; Lactobacillales; Lactobacillaceae. The record is from RNAcentral.
GACGAACGCGGCGGCGUGCCUAAUACAUGCAAGUCGAGCGAGCUUGCCUAGAUGAAUUUGGUGCUUGCACCAAAUGAAACUAGAUACAAGCGAGCGGCGGACGGGUGAGUAACACGUGGGUAACCUGCCCAAGAGACUGGGAUAACACCUGGAAACAGAUGCUAAUACCGGAUAACAACACUAGACGCAUGUCUAGAGUUUAAAAGAUGGUUCUGCUAUCACUCUUGGAUGGACCUGCGGUGCAUUAGCUAGUUGGUAAGGUAAUGGCUCACCAAGGCAAUGAUACGUAGCCGACCUGAGAGGGUGAUCGGCCACACUGGGACUGAGACACGGCCCAGACUCCUACGGGAGGCAGCAGUAGGGAAUCUUCCACAAUGGACGCAAGUCUGAUGGAGCAACGCCGCGUGAGUGAAGAAGGGUUUCGGCUCGUAAAGCUCUGUUGGUAGUGAAGAAAGAUAGAGGUAGUAACUGGCCUUUAUUUGACGGUAAUUACUUAGAAAGUCACGGCUAACUACGUGCCAGCAGCCGCGGUAAUACGUAGGUGGCAAGCGUUGUCCGGAUUUAUUGGGCGUAAAGCGAGUGCAGGCGGUUCAAUAAGUCUGAUGUGAAAGCCUUCGGCUCAACCGGAGAAUUGCAUCAGAAACUGUUGAACUUGAGUGCAGAAGAGGAGAGUGGAACUCCAUGUGUAGCGGUGGAAUGCGUAGAUAUAUGGAAGAACACCAGUGGCGAAGGCGGCUCUCUGGUCUGCAACUGACGCUGAGGCUCGAAAGCAUGGGUAGCGAACAGG